AUUGGUCAGACCAUAGAAGACAGCGCGCUAGCGUAUCUAGUCUUGUAUAUAUAUCUAUGGUCGGCACGUCUGGUGGCAUCUCUGGCUGCUGUUGACCUUGUUUUUGGAGUAAAACACGGUGGAAGCUGAAUUAGUGAGGAUGACUCCUGCUCCUGUCAUCUCUAAGCUCCUCACACAUCUUUACCUGCACAUGAGGAAAAUCACUCCUGUAGAAUGCAGAUGUUCAGAGGGAGAUGAUGCCACAUCUGGUCCAGCUGAUGGAAGGUCUUGAAGUUCUCUGACUGGCCUCGACUGAAGAUGGUCGUCUCACUGGAUUUAAGGUUCAGAUGCUCAGUAACAAACUCCACCAAUGAGCCAACAGGGAAGCUUUAGGUUUAUUAAAUGUUGCUAUGAAGGUAUCGCUGUUUUUCUUUGUGAAUGCAAUGUGUUCCAACUGAAACUUGAAUUAGAACUUAGAAGUAAAUCCUUCCAUCUGAAAGGAUUUAGUUGCAUUAAUAACCUCAUAACAUUCUAAUUUUUAUUCCAGUCUUGGUUGGAAAUAGAAUCUCUGUAUUGAUUCAGGUAAAAACUGAACUUCACAGCAUGGAGCAAAACAACCAGAUGAAAACUGUGAUGGUGUUGGAUUGUCAGACCGUAAUGUUGCAGCUCAAAGCAGCUUUUCUAUCUCAGUUCAUUCUGACAUUCAGCUAUGAAUCAACACAGCAGAUGGUGAUCCAUGCUGUGGAAGUCUCACAUCUCCUGAUUUAAUGGAGCUGCUUUGCACUUUUUACACUGUUUAUUCACCAACACUUUAUUUAAUAAAAGUCCCAUCGAGUUUUUAUGAGGAAUGUGAUGUUUUAAUUUCUCUGUGAAUAACUGCAGUCUAAUGCAACAGCUGGAGUUGUAACAUCUGUCCUGAUAUUGAUCAUGAAGUAUUGAUCAGAAUACUUAUGGUUAGCAGUCAUCCCUGAAGUUUUAUAUUAAAAUCUUUACUUGUGUUGUGAACUUUGGUAAGAAGCAGAAACGUUAGCGUUGCCAUGGAUACAUGAGUGUUAAAUUCUGUCCAUGUUUCCAUUUUGGGAAAUGCAGUCCAGUUCCAGAAUGUGGAGGAAUUUAGUCUCAAUCACAGACAACAAAUAUUAUCUGGAAGUCGGGUUAUUUUUGUUUUUUAUUUAUUUAAAAUUAUUUGAGUUAAUUUGAGUUAUCAGCAAAAAUCAAGUGUUCAUUUGAUGAACUUGAUUUCCUAAAACAUCCAGAAUUGGAGCUCAUGUCUUUGGCAGCUGUAAAGUUUCUGCUCCUUCAAAGUUCACAACACAAUGAAUUAAUUCCUAAAACACUCUCAAUGCUGGAGAGCGUUUGUGAUGCUGAAGCAGUGAUCAGUUUUUCUGUUUCUUCUCUGGAGAUGCACAAUGAGGGACGUCUGCAGAGACUGAGAAAGAGUCUCACCACAUCCUGACAUCAGGAAAAAGACUUUAAGACUACAAUGAGAAAAACUAUCAGACAGCAGACGGCUGCAUUCAAGCUGAGCUCUGAACAUCUAAUCUGGAACAGGAAUUCAAUAAUGGCAGCAUGAGCUUCAUUUCAGUCUGUAGCUGCUGAAUUCAUGGAUGAAUCAUCUGGCACUAGAGUGGAAGACCAUCAAACAUUCACGUCAGCUGAUGGAGGUCCAAGAGUCUCACCGAACAACCAACCUACAGAGUGAAGACCUCAAAUCUGAUUGGA
This is a long non-coding RNA of Amphiprion ocellaris (clown anemonefish), 1701 nucleotides long. RefSeq lists it as uncharacterized. The transcript is spliced from 3 exons. Lineage: Eukaryota; Metazoa; Chordata; Actinopteri; Pomacentridae. The record is from RefSeq and is a predicted model, not a curated record.